This 450-nucleotide ribosomal RNA is filed under the name uncultured bacterium. RNAcentral describes it as "partial 16S ribosomal RNA". It matches the Rfam family "Bacterial small subunit ribosomal RNA", at positions 338 to 795 of the family's 1533-position model. The record is from RNAcentral.
CCUACGGGUGGCUGCAGUAGGGAAUAUUGGGCAAUGGACGCAAGUCUGACCCAGCCACGCCGCGUGAAGGAUGACUGCCCUAUGGGUUGUAAACUUCUUUUGUAUGGGAAGAAACCUCCGAACGUGUUCGGAGCUGCCGGUACCAUAAGAAUAAGCAUCGGCUAACUCCGUGCCAGCAGCCGCGGUAAUACGGAGGAUGCAGGCGUUGUCCGGAUUCAUGGGGUUGAAAGGGGACGUAGGCGGCAGUGGUGAAAGCUUGCAGCUUAACUGUGAAAAUGCCAUUGAAACUGAUUGUCUUGAGUUCGAUUGAGGUAGAUGGAAUGUAUCAUGUAGCGGUGAAAUGCUUAGAUAUGAUACAGAACACCAAUUGCGAAGGCAGUCUACUAAGUCGAUACUGACGCUGAGGCACGAAAGCAUGGGGAGCAAACAGGAUUAGAUACCCGGGUAGUC